Molecule: transfer RNA, 96 nt
Filed under: Christensenellaceae bacterium
Lineage: Bacteria; Bacillati; Bacillota; Clostridia; Christensenellales; Christensenellaceae
Description: tRNA-Sec
Rfam family: Selenocysteine transfer RNA
Source: RNAcentral
GGGAGUAGAUGGGUGCUGGUGUGCCCUCCGGUCUUCAAAACCGGUAAUAGUGCUUAAUACCGCUUAGGUGGGUUCGAUUCCCACAUACUCCCGCCA